AUGCCUAGACGGACAGAAGAAGCUGAACCAAAAGAAUGCUUGGAGUUUGAUGAUAAUGAAGAGGAAGAGGUAGAAGAGGAAGAAAUUGAGUAUGAAGAAAUUGAGGAGGAGGUAGAGGAGGAGGUGGAGGUGGAGGAGGAGGAUAUUUCAGAGGAAGUGGAGGAGGUAGAGGAGGAGGAGGAAGACCCUGAAGAAAGAGAAGUUCUUGAUGAAAUUGAUGCUAGUCAUGACAGUGACAGUAAAUCGGAAGUUGUUCCUCUUCCUCAGCAGGAUGGUGCCAGAGAUGGGAGCGAUAAAGAGAAGCAUGCCGAACUUCUUGCUCUUCCUCCUCAUGGAUCUGAAGUAUAUUUUGGGGGCAUCUCCAGCGAUGCAUCUUCUGACGAUCUCAAGAAACUAUGUGAGCCAGUUGGCGAAGUUGUGGAAGUUAGAAUAAUGCUGAGCAAGAAGGAUAGUAGGGGAUAUGCUUUUGUUACUUUCAGAACUAAUGACCUGGCUUUGAAGGCCAUCGAGAAAUUGAACAAGGCAACUUUCAAGGGAAAGAAGCUAAGAGUUUCUUCGUCCCAGGCUAAGAACAAGCUAUUUGUUGGAAAUAUACCUCACAGUUGGUCAUUUGAUGAUUUUAAAAAAGCAGUGGAAGAAGUUGGUCCUGGAGUAUUAAAAGUUGAUCUGAUUAAGGAUCCACGUACAGAUCGCAAUCGGGGUUAUGGUUUCGUUGAAUACUAUAAUAAUGCAUGCGCUGAGUAUUCAAGGCAGAAGAUGACUGCACCAAAUUUCAAAUUAGAUACAAAUGCUCCUACUGUCAGCUGGGCAGAUCCUAAGAAUGGGGAUUCUGCCUCUACAGGCUCUACGUCACAGGUCAAAUCUGUAUAUGUCAAAAACCUGCCCAAGAAUGUUACUCAAGGGCAGCUGAAAAAGCUGUUUGAGCGCCAUGGUGAAAUCAUAAAAAUUGUUCUCCCCCCUUCAAAAGAUGGUCAUGAUAAUAGGUAUGGUUUUGUUCACUUUAAAGACCGCCACAUGGCCAUGAAGGCUGUGAAGAGCACAGAGAAAUAUGAGCUUGACGGUCAGCUCCUGGACUGCUCACUCGCAAAACCUCCUGCUGAUAAAAAAGACGAUACAGUAUCAUUGCCUACUGCCAAAGGAGGUCCGUUGCUCCAUGCUCCGCUUGGAUAUGGUAUGCCACGGCCAGAUCCUUAUGGUGCGCCUCCUGCUUAUGGUGCCCCUCCUGCUUAUGGUGCACCUCCUGCUUAUGGUGGACAGCCUCUGCUCUAUGCUCCAGGAGCUCCUCCAGGUGCAGCAAUGGUUCCAAUGCUUCUACCGGAUGGCCGUCUUGUAUAUGUUGUGCAACAGCCUGGAGCGCAGCAACAUUUCGCUUCCCCUCCGCCCCAGGUGCGGCAACAUCAGCAUUUCACAUCUCCUCCGCCACAGGCACGACAAAUUGGUCGCCAUGGUGGCAGCGGUGGCGGUGGAGGCAGUGGUGGAUCAAGUAGGUCCGGGUCCGGUACAAAGCGCCCAAGGGGAGAUGACAACAACAGCAGCAGUCGCAACCGACAACGCCGGUAUUGA
Molecule: ribosomal RNA, 1563 nt
Filed under: Triticum aestivum (bread wheat)
Lineage: Eukaryota; Viridiplantae; Streptophyta; Magnoliopsida; Poales; Poaceae
Description: partial small subunit ribosomal RNA
Source: RNAcentral